RNAcentral lists this ribosomal RNA (327 nucleotides) under Cercomonas sp. RNAcentral's name for it is "SSU rRNA". The stretch from base 81 to 327 matches the Rfam family "Eukaryotic small subunit ribosomal RNA", at positions 712 to 955 of the family's 1831-position model. The record is from RNAcentral. Lineage: Eukaryota; Cercozoa; Cercomonadida; Cercomonadidae.
GAUUUCUGGUACGGCGCACUUGGCCCGUCGUGGUUACACGUAUGUGUGCCGGUGUGCGCCUGCCAUCCAUCUGGAGAACGCUGUCGCCCUUCACUGGGUGGGCAGUGGUAUCCAGAUCUUUUACUUUGAAAAAAUUAGAGUGUUUAAAGCAGGCUUGCGCUAUGAAUAUAUUAGCAUGGAAUAAUAACUUAGGACUUUGGCUUAGAGUUUUAUUUGGUAUUUUGUGGGCUAAAGUAAUGAUUGAUAGGGACAGUUGGGGGUGCUAGUAUUCAGCGGCCAGAGGUGAAAUUCUUGGAUUCGCUGAAGACUAACUUAUGCGAAAGCAUU